AGAGUCGGUGAAGGCUUUAAAGGAAGUAGGCAGCUGGAACCCGGCUGUGGCGGGUUGAAAAGCCCGGGCGUUUGAGAGCUGAGACUUGCCAGUUCCCACAGGCCAAGCCAGGCGUCUGCACCCCAUUCUCUUGGUUCCGACGGUGUGUCUCUGCGAUGUUUUGGCGGUCUCUCCUCUCCAUCCCCUUAAUAAUACUGGUCUCUGUUUCACCCGUACCCCUCUACACGAGCAGGUGCAAAUUGUCAUUGAACCGGGAAAGUGGGCACACACUCAGAUGCCUCCAUGGACACGUGAGAAACCAUGCUUCUGUUUCAGCCUAUUGCUGACACGCGGGAAUGUGGGCCCUGUGAUGCCAGAUCUUACUUUCUUUCCUUUCUUCCUCUCUUCUCCCCUCUCUACUUCCUUCCCUCUCUCCUUCCCUCCCGCCCUCCCUCCUCUUUGUGUGUGUGAUAAAAUCUAUCUAACAUAAAAUUCACCAUUUUUAAGUGUACAGUUCACUGGCAUUAAGUACAUUCACAUUGUUGUGAAACCAUCACCACUAUCCAUCUCCAGAACUUUUUCAUUAUCCCAAAUAGAAAAUCUGCCUGUUACACAGUAACUCCCCGUUACCCGUUUCUCACAACCCCUUAUAGCCGAUAUUGCACUUUCUGUCUGUAAGUGCGAGGUACCGCAUAUAAAUUGAAUCAUACAAUAAUUGCUCUUUUCUGAUUGGCUUAUUUCACUUAGCAUAAUGUCUUCAAGGAGCAUCUAUGUUGUAGCAUGUAUCAGAAUUUCUUCCUUCUUGAGGCUAAAUAAUAUUCCAUUAUACAUGUAUACUACAUUUUGUUUAUCCAUUCAUCCAUAUAAAUGGAUGCUUGGUUAUUCCCACCUUUUGGCUAUUGUGAAUAAUGCUGCUAUGAACUUUGGUAUACAAAUAAUCAUUCUCCACAUAAUACGCAGAAAGAGUUUUCUAAAAUGUAAAAAUCUGUUCAAGUUACCUCCCUCCUGAAAAUCUUCUAUGGUAAAUUGAAACCAAAAUAUGAUACUAUUAAACACUCCAUAGAAUAGCUGAAAUGAAAAGACUGACAAUUCCCUUAGUUGCAAAGAUGCAGAAAUGGGACUCUCAUACAGUGUUGAUGGGAGUGUAAAAUGGUACAACCACUUUGGAAACAUCAGUCUCUACUGAAAUCAAAUUUACCCCUACCCUAUACCCCAGAAAUCCCAUUUCUAGAUAUUUACCCCAAAAAAUGAAUGCCUUUAUUCACCAAAAGACUCAUAGCAGCUUUAUUCAUAAUAGCCAAAGGGAAAAAACCCAGAUGUCCACCAAUAGAUGAAUAGAUAAAUUGCAGCUUAUUCAUAUAACUGUAUACUACUGUUGAAGAAUAAUUUUAAUAUCAAAUAUAAUACAGAUAUAAAAUAAAUGUUAGAGAUUUUAUUUAACUCAUUAAUGAAUGAGAUAUCCAGAAAGAUUACAACUGCUUCAAUGGAAAAUUCAAAGUACCACACACAUAGUCAAAUGAGGAAUAAUGAAAUAACUACAAAUAUAUACAAAAACUGGCAGAACUGAUGAAAUCCACAGCUUAGUAAUCAAUUGCAUUCUACUGAAAACAAUUUGCAUUUCUUUUUUUUUUUUUUUUUUUGAGACGGAGUCUCACUCAGCCGCCCAGGCUGGAGUGCAGUGGCGCAAGCUCGGCUCACCGCAACCACCAUCUCCCAGGUUCAAUAGAGUCUCCCGUCUCAGCCUCCCGAGUAGCUGGGAUUACAGGCACCCGCCAUCAUGCCCAGCUAGCUUUUUGUAUUUUAGUAGAGACAGGGUUUCACCGUGUUGGCCAGGCUGGUCUCGAACUCCUGACCUCAGGUGAUCCGCCUGUCUUGGCCUCCCAAAGUGUUAGGAUUACAGGCAUGAGCCACCGUGCCCGGCCACAAUUUGCAUUUCUAUAGACAAGAAGUGUCUAUAGUUUGUAUAGUUGUUCUGUAGCUCAAAGACAGUGAAAGGUUUAGAGUCUUCAUAGAAUCAGACAUCCUAGAAAAGUAAGCUGGACAGCUGGGCACCUUGUUUUUCAAUGACACCCAGUAAUCAUUUUUUUGUUGUUUGUCUUAGAUGGAGUCUUGCUCUGUCACCCAGACUGGAGUACAGUGGUGUGAUCUCAGCUCACUGCAACCUCCACUUCCCAGGUUCAAGCGAUUUUCCUGCCCCAGCUUCCCGAGCAGCUGGGACUACAGAAUAUGCUCUCCAUGAGGGUGUUCUUCAGGGCCUACCACAAUGGCUGGCACUAGAGAAGGGCACAAAAUUGAAGAACAGUGAAGACAAAAGCAAUAAGAUGAUUAAGGCCAUGUGAGACAGCAACAAUAUCAGGUGAAUGUCACCCUUUAUCGAGUUGUGAGUAUCCAGCCUCUCACUUUGGGGGAUACUGUUUGAGCCUAAGUAACAUUAGUGGCUUUAUUCAUUUGGUAGAUUGUUUGUAUCUUUGCGUUGUCUCUAUCCUGCUUUUUCCUUGGCCAUUUUGCUAUUAAAAAUCUGUUGAUUUACUCUGCAUUUUCCCAUAGAGAAGGGUAGCCUGAGGAGUUAUUUAACAAUGAUGUGUUUUGGCCAGGCGCGGUGGCUCAUGCCUGUAAUCCCAGCACUUUGGGAGGCCGAGGCAGGCAGAUCACGAGGUCAGGACAUUGAGACCAUCGUGGCUAACAUGGUGAAACGCCGUCUCUACUAAAAAUACAAAAAUUAGCCAGGUGUCAUGGCACACGCCUGUAGUCCCAGCUACUCGGGAGGCUGAGGCAGGAGAAUGGCAUGAACCUGGGAGGUGGAGCUUGCAGUGAGCCGAGAUCGCGCCACUGCACUCCAGCCUGGGGCACAGAGCGAGACUCCGUCUCAAAAAAAAAAAAAAAAAAAAAAGGUGUGUUUUGUUUUUGCAACAAGUAAAAAUUGACAUAUUUCACCCACAUGUUCAUUAACAGAUGAAUGAAUAAACAAAAUGUGGUAUAUCUAAUAAGCUGGGCACAGUGGCCCACACCUGUAAUCCCAGCAGUUUGGGAGGCUGAGGUGGGUGGAUCACUUGAAGUCAGGAGUUCCAGACCAGCCUGGCCAACAUAGUGAAACCCUGUCUCUACUAAAAAUACAAAAAAGUUAGCCGGGCAUGGUGGCGUGUUCCUGUAACCCCAGCUACUCGGGAGGCUGAGGCAGGAGAAUUGCUUGAACCUGGCAGGUGGAGGUUGUAGUGAGCCAAGAUCGUGCCACUGCACUCCAGCCUGGGCAACAGAGCGAGGCUCCAUCUCAAAAAAAAAAAAAAAAAAAGUAGUAUAUCCAUACAGUGGAGUAUCAUUCGGCCAUGAAAAGGAGUGAAGCUCUGACACAUGCUACAACAUUCUGAGUCAAAUAUGCCAACACAAAAAAACAAAUACGAUCUGACUCCAUUUAUAUGAAAGAUUUUGAAUAGGCAAAUUCAUAGAGACAGAAAGUAGAUUAGAGGUUUCAGGAACUGAGAGUAGGAAGGAGGGAAGAAUGAGGAAUUAUUGCUUACUGGGUUCAUAGUUUCCAUUUGGGGGGAUGAAAAAGUUUAGAAAUUGUGGCAAUGGCUGUACAGCAUUUUGAAUGUAAUUAAUGCCAUUGAGUUCUACUCAUAAAAAGGUUAAAAUGGCAGUUUAUUUCAUACAUAUUUUACCACACACACAAAAAGCAGUUGCUGUGGAAAAAAAAAACACACACACAACAUAUUUUACACACACACAAAAGCUCCAAUCAAAACAGAAAUAGAUUUUCAGUUUUUCUUAAAAAAGAGGAAAGAAGAAAGGGAGGGAGGGUGUGAGGGAAGGAGAGAAGGAGGGAAGGAAGGAGAGAGGGAAGAAGAGAGGAAGGUACAGAAAGAAAAGAAAGAUCUAGCAUCAUCACAGGGCCCACAUUCCCUCAAGAGAACAAUAGGCUGAAACAAGUGUGGCUUCUCACGUGUCCCUGGAGGCAUCUGAGUUUGUUUCAUGUUUCCCCCAUCAGUGACAAUUUGCACCUGCUCGUGUAGAGAGGUACCUGUGAAACAGAGGCCAGCAUUAAUAAGGGGGUGGAGAGGAGAGACUGCCAAAGCCUUGCAGAGACAGAAAAAAAAAGUGUGGUUUUCCAGGACUGAAAACUCAGUCGCAGCAGCCCCUCUCUCAGUUGUACCUGUAGGAUUUUAAUUUAUAGAAGCGACUGACUGAUGACAGAGAGACUAGUGGCUUUGAAGGAAUAAUUUAUCCACAUUUCCUGAGAGGAGGGACACACCACGCCAUGCAGGGCCACAUGGAGAAGAAGCACCAGGUUUGGUCAGGAGGCAGAAGGGAGUGAAGGGAAAGCUUAAACGAGAACCUUUAUUAGCGUUUCAGCAGGGAAGGCAAGGCAGUGCAGGGAAAGUUUGGGACUGGGUGGUCUGAAUAAUUCUGGUGGGUUUUGGAGAUUAGCGGUAUCUCUAGGGGUUCUGUAGUACCUAGCCUUGGGUUAAUUUAGGGCAGGGGAAAUAUUGGCUUUGUGUUAGAAAAAGGGGGUAGUUAGAGGUAUGGACUUGGGACUAGUUGGAGGGUUUGUAAUAUAAUUUUUUGGGCGCCCACAAAAACAAGAUCAUAGGAAAGAUGUAAACAACUUUGGCUUUUCGUUUGGUCCUGUAUGGCCUGAGCCACAGAUGCGUUUGGCAUAAUAGCAGCUUCCUGGCAUGAAAGAGCCAAAAAAAAAGACAUCAAAAACACUGCCUUUUGCAGUAGACAUCUGUAAUCUUUGCCUGGGGAAAAUCAUCCACUUACAGCAGCCUGACACGGCUUUGGAGAGCCACUUUUCUCAAUUCAGCCAGGAAACUCAUGCCAAUGUGGGACUGACUUCUCAAGCCUGGAACACCAGGGGUGGCCCUGCCACGUCAGCCUGGCCAAUCAGUAUAUCCUACUGGCUUGGCCUGAUGACUCCAGCUGGGCCAAUGAGAGCCCUCCACAGGACUUUGGCUAGAAUCUACCGGGAAUGUGGUAAUAGGUGUGCCCUUUCUGUUGGAGUUCCCAAACUGUUAAGGUGUCAUCCUGGAUGUGGGACUAGGAGGGGAGCCUGCCUGAGGAUGCAGCCACCGGAGAGGAGAGUGCAGGCAAGAGAAGGAGAGAAGCUGGGUUUUGGUGGAAUUAAUUGUCUGAGGCCCUGGAUCCUGCUGUACUGGCAGCCACGUCCUGGACUUUGCAGUCAUAUAAGCCAAUUAAUUCCCGUUUAUACUUAAAAAAAAAAAGGCGAACUGCAAAACAGUAGCCAUAGGAUGCUAUGUUUAUUUAGAGAAUGGGGGAAAAUGAUUCGGAUAUGUGUCAGCUAGCAUAUUCAUUUAAACUUUUCUAAUAAAUAAGAAGCUAAUAAUCAUGAAUACCUGUUGGGAGUGGGAACUGGGUAGAUGGAGGAAUGAGUCAUAGAAAUACUUCACUGUGGCCAGGCGUGAUGGCUCACACCUGUAAUCCCAACAUUUUGGGAGGCCGAGGCCGGCGGAUCACUUGGGGCCAGGAGUUCGAGAGCAGUCUGGCCAACAUGACAAAACCCCAUCUCUACUAAAAAUACAAAAUUUAGCUGGGCAUGGUGGCAUGCGCCUCUAGUCCAAGGCUGAGGUGGGAGAGUUGCUUGAACCCAGGAGGCAGAGGUUGCAGUGAGCCAAGAUGGUGUCAUUGCACUCCACCCUGGGUGACAGUGAGACUCUGUCUCAAAAAAAAAGAAAUACUUCACUGUAUACCCUUUCAUAUUUUUUGACAUUUGAACAUGUGAGAAUGUUACCUAUCAAUAAUAUUAAAUACAGACAUUUUAUUUUUAUUUUUUGUAGAGACAGUCCUGCUGUUGUCCAGGUUGGUCUUGAACUCCUGGCCUCAAGCAAUCCUCCUGACUCAGCCUCCCCAAGUGCUGGGAUUACAAGUGUGAGCCACUGUGCCCAGCUCAGACUUUUAAAAAUACAAAAAACUCGAGGUUUAUUUUAUAAAGCCCUUAGGAAGAACAAAUCCUAUUAUAGCAAAUACAUUGAAUUUUCAAUGUACUGUGCUAGUAAGAUAUUUACACUCCUAACCACUCAGGAGCAAAGUAAACAAAGAACACUGUUAAGAGACCAGGUAGGUGGAGAAAGAUCUCAAUUAAACUUAAAGUUAUACAUAGUCUGCCUUUUGUUAUGUUUUCUAAGAAUAUGUUAGAAGCAGUCUGAGAUAUUCAGUGGUAAGAACAACGCUCUUCUGAGAAUAUACGUUGUUAUUCACAAGGAAGGAUGUAGUAGGUAUCAGUAGGUUGUCACUCCUGCUACAACAACCAGAAAAACAAAAACGCACACAUACAAAAAAAGGAUAAAUUAUACAAAUCACACACACAUGUGUAUAUAUUUAUAGACAAUCUCACUCUUGUCACCUAGGCUGGAGUGCAGUGGCGCCAUCUCAGCUCACUGCAACCUCUGCCUCCUGAGUUCAAGUGACUCUCCCACCUCACCCUCCCGACUAGCUGGGACUACAGGUGUGUGCCACCAUGCCCAGCUAAAUUUUGUAUUUUUAGUAGAGAUGGGGUUUCACCAUGUUGGCCAGGCUGGUCUUGAACUGCCUUGGCCUCCCAAAGUUCUGGGAUUCAGGUGUGAGCCACUGCGCCUGGCCCAAGUCCUAUUUUUAAAGACAUAAGAACAUCAGAGAGCAGUGGGAUCAGAGAAAGAAGAGCCCAUUGCUAGGUGAACUGGGAUUGCUGGUCAUUUUUCUCCCUGGGUGCAUUUGUCAAAGCUGAAGAUUGAGUGUGGUUUACACUGAACUUUUGAUGGCCUCUCAGGCUAUUGUUAACAGAUUAGAGUCUAAAGGAGCCUAGAUAAGAGGCUUUUUUUCCCAUGGGAUAUUUGCUGAGUGCUGGGGUAGACUGGGGGCCAAGAGCUGCUAAGCUCGAGACCUAGGCUGGAAAGGCAGAGUAAGAUCUGCAGUCUCUUAGUUUGGAAUGUGGAGUCCCUCUGAAGGGAGGGGCCUGCAAAAAAUACAUGACAGGUCUCACUCUCUCAAGAUAAUUAAAAACAGAGGUGGACCACAUCUAAGUAAAGCCGUAACUCUUCCAAAAUCAGCUCAAUUUCUGAUUGGAUAGAAUUAUCAUUCUUUUGAGGUACAUGGGCCAACAGAAAAUAGAGUCAACCAUUCAGAGAAAAAUAUUAUUAACUUCGACCUUUAAGGUUAUUUUAUACACAGUAUUUGGCAUACAAUAAAAAAGUAUUAGUCGGCAGGGCACAGUGGCUCAUACCUGUAAUCCCAGCACUUUGGGAGGCUGAGGCAGGUGGAUCACUUGAGGUCAGGAGUUCGAGACCAGCCUGGGAAACAUAGUGAAACCCCAUCUCUAAUAAAAAUACAAGAAUUAGUCAGGUGUGGUGGCGCAUGCCUAUAUUCCCAGCUACUCAGGAGGCUGAGGCAAAAGAAUCGCUUGAACCCAGGAGGUGGAGUUUGCAGUGAGCGGAGAUCGCACUACCGCACUCCAGCCUGGGUGACAGAGCGAGACUCUUGUCUCAAAAAAAAGAAAGAAAAUGUCUGUAAGUACAGAAAGAUAAAACAGAAAGAACAAUGUUAACUACAAAGUUCUUGUUUAAUGUCUCCCUAGAAUACAAUAUUUAGCCGAGAAGUUUACUCACAUAAUCUUAGCAUGUUUGUUGUAGAAAAUAAAAGGGAAUUUUGUUUAUUUAAAUUAUAAAUAAACUCAUUUUGUAAUCAUAUUAUAUAAAUUCCUGUUAGAAUCUUGGAUCUAGUUUUUUCUUCACAGAUUGCAAGUAACAUAAAAUAAAGCUUCCACCAGAUUUGAAUCUAAAUACCACACUCACUUUACAAUUCUGAAUUUUGGUUUCUACAUUUGUAAAAUAGAAAUAGUAAUACAUGUCUCAUAAGUUUAGUAUGAAGAUUAAGUGACGUAAGGCCCUCGGUAUAAUGCCUGGUAUAGAGUAAAUAUACAUUAUUAUUGCUGUUAUUACUUUUGGAGACAGGGUCUCAUUCUGUCACCCAGGCUGGAGUGCAGUGGUACAUUCAUGGCUCACAGUAGUCUUGAACUCCUAGGCUCAAGUGAUCCUCCUGCCUCAGCCUCUUGUUUAGCUGGGAGUACAAGCACAUGCCACCAUGUCCAGCUAAUUUAAAAAAAUUGUUUUUCCAGAGACAGGUUCUCGCUAUGUUGCCAGGGCUGGUCUUGAACUCCUGGCCUCAAGCGAUCCUCCUGCCUUGGCCUCCCAAAGUGCUGGGUUUAUAGAUGUGAGCCACUGCACCCAGCUAUGAAAAAUUAAUUUUUCCUCAGGCAUGCAUAUCUACCAUGUUACAGGAAUCAUCACAGGGAGUAUGAGGGAAUAGACUCCCAUUAAAUGAGAUGAGAUUAAAUGAGACAGUGGAUGUAACUCAGUAAAGUCCUUCUAAAUGGUGACCUUUAUUAUUAUAAUAACAUAAUCUCAGUCUGCCAAAUCAGGUGUGCAACAAACUAUUUUAACGUAAUGACUUCACGUGUGUUUUGAGUUCCCAGUCUGCUAGAUAACAGCAAAUUAAUCUUAGAUAUGUGAGGUUUGUUUGUUUGUAGAGGUCUCACUGUGUUGCCCAGGCAGGUCUCAAAUUCCUGGCCUGAAGCUGUCCUCCCGCCUCAGCCUCCCAAAGGGUUGGGAUGACAGGCGUAAGCCACCAUGCCUGGCCCAAAAUUUGGAGUUUUCUUUCCUUCCUGCUGGAUGGUGCGUGAGUUCUAGGGUCUUACCUUGUGCCAAGAUGUGAGUUGGAGGGCAAUUUUUCCUUAUAAUCAUCUUUCCUCAUAGGUCACACAGAAGUGGCCUGUUCUUGUGCCUAUGCCUUCUUCAAAUCUGGGGCAUCCUCCCUCCACUUCUAUUUACAGCCUGGGGGCCAUGGGAAUCUUUCUGUUGCUUCAGUGUCAAACAAGGGCAUGGACAUCUUAGAGUGCCUGUGGCGUUGCCAACCAAAACACCCUAUACGCAGUGCCAUCUCUGGGGUCCUGCUGUUCCCUGGCAUGCAGCCCAGGAAUCAGGGCCUCAGGCCUUUCUUCCUUGGAGCCACCUUGUCACUGCUCUCUCAUAUCAGUGCCUCACUUCUGUCUCCCACUGCUUAAGGGUCUUUUAAUCUGGUCUCCCUAAAGAACUUUACCUAUUAUUACCUAUUAUUAAGAAUAGGUUUAGUUUCUUUCAGAAACUAUUGUUUCGGAGUGUUUUCCACUUUUGUUACCAUUUCAUCUCUCAUCUGAGCCAAUAGACACAUAGAUUGCUUAAAUGGCUGAAGGCGGGGGGAAGGGAGGAUACUAGAAGAAAAUAAAAACAAGGCCGGCGCAGUGGCUCAUGGCUGUAAUCUUGGCACUUUGGGAGCCCAAGGCAGGCAGAUCACUUGAGCCCAGGAGUUCAAGACCAGCCGGGGAAACGUAGGGAGACCCUGUCUCUACAAAAAAUAAAAAAUUAGCCAGGCAUGGUGGUGUGCACCUGUUAGUCCCAGCUACUCCUGGGUUCAAGUGAUCCUUCCACUUAAGCCUCCCAAGUAGCUGGGACCACAGGCAUGUGCCACCACGCCCAGCUAAUUUUUGUAUUUUUUGUAGAGACGGGCUUUCACCAUGUUGCGCAGGCUGGUCCUGAGCUCCUGGUCUCAAGCAAUCCUCCUGCCUCAGCCUCCCGAAGUGCUGGGAUUACAGACGUGAGCCAUCAGGCCCAGCCUAUAAUGGAAUUCUUAUUAUCAGAUUAGCCUUUCUGCCUUAAACAACCAUGAAACUGCCCAAAAGCUAUGAGCAACCAUUUUCAAACAAUAGACAACAGGCAGUGCAUGACAGUAAUCCCCAAGAUCACUGAUGAGAUGUUUCCCACAAUUUCUCUGUCUCUCUGCUGGCGACAGCUUUCCAAUUGCAGCAUAGCAAGCUGGAAUUCUGGCAGAGUAGGGAUGCCCUGCUGUGUUGAGAAGAGAUCAGAGUGAAGGGCUGCCGAAACCGCUGCAGUCCAUAAGUCGUGGCCCUGGAGAGAAUGGAGCUGCUUAUGUGGGAGGCAGAGAUCCACACCAUGGCUUUCUCAUGAGUUCUUAGCUGAAAACUGGGCUGUACAUGUGUAGGGAAGACUACCUGAGGGUUACCAGAGAGAGGCUGCUACCCAGUUGAGAGCAAAGCAGAUAAUAGAGGUCAGGCAGAUAACAGAAUCCAGAGCCUCUACAAUGUAUCAUCCAGUGUCCUUGACACAAUCUACAAUUCCUAAACAUACAAGGAAACAGAAAAAUAUGACCCAUAGCAAAAACAACAAUCAAUAGAAGCUGACCACAAGGUGGUCCAGAUGCUGGACUUAGCAAAGACUUUAAGGAAAUUAUUAUAUGUUCAAAAUUCUAAAGGAAAGUGUGUUUAAAGAAUUAAAGGAAAAUAUGUUUAAAUAAUUAGGCCAGGCGCGGUGGCUCAAGCCUCUAAUCCCAGCACUUUGGGAGGCUGAGGUGGGUGGAUCACCUGAGGUCAGGAGUUCGAGACCAGCCUGACCAACAUGGUGAAACCCCAUCUCUACUAAAAAUACAAAAAAUUAGCCAGGCUUGUUGGUGCGUGCUUGUAAUCCCAGCUACUCGGGAGGCUGAGGCAGGAGAAUCUCUUGAACCUGGGAGGCGGAGGUUGCAGUGAGCCGAGAUCGCGCCAUUGUACUCCAACUUGGGCAACAAGAGUGAAAUUCCGUCUAAAAAAAGAAAAGGAAAAUAUGUUUAAAUAAUUAAAGGAAAAUAUGGUCUUUUUUUCUUUUUUUAAGAGACGGUGUCUCACUGCAUUGCCUAGGCUGAACUUGAACUCCUGGGCUGAAGAGAUCCUCUUGCUUCAGCCUCCCAAGUAGCUGAGACUACAGCCAUGUGCCCCCACACCCAGCAGGAAAGGUGUUUUCUUUUGAGGCAGGUUCUAACUCUGACACCCAGGCUGGAGUACAAGUGGCAUGAUCUUGGUUCACUGCAGCCUCAACCUCCAGGGCUCAAGUGAUCCUCCCACCUCAGCCUCCCAAGUAGCUGGGACUACAGGUGCACACCACCAUGCCCAGCUAAUUUUUGGUUUUUUUUUUUUUUUUUUUUUUUGGCAGAGACAGGUUUCACCCUGUUGCCCAGGCUGGUCUCAAACUCCUGGGUUCCAGCAGUCCACCCACCUCGGCCUCCCAAAGUGUUGGAAUUACAGGCAUGAGCCACCACACCCAGCCAGGAAAGAUCUUAAUGAGUGAAUGAAUAGAAAACCAAGCAGACAAGCUGGUGGCUCCUGCCUGUAAUCCUAGCACUUGGGAGGCCAAGGCGGGUAGAUCACUUGAGGUCAGGAGUUUGAGAACAGCCUGGCCAACAUGGUGAAACCUCCUCUCUACUAAAAAUACAAAAAUUAGCCGGGCAUGGUGGCGCAUACCUGUAAUCCCAGCUACUGAAGCUGAGGCAGGAGAAUCUCUUCAACCUGGGAGGUAGAGGUUGCAGUGAGCCGGUAUUGCACCACUGCACUCCAGCACAGGCGACAGGACAAGACUCUUUCUCAAAAAAAAAAAGAAAAAAAAAAAAAAACCACCAAGCAGAUAAAUGUCAAUUAUAGCAAAGUACCAUCUAGAAAUUCUAGAACUGAAAAGUAUAAUAACUGAAACAAAAAGUAUUUAAGAUGGACUUGACUUCUUAUAGAGAAGGCCGAAGACAAAGAUAGGCAACUUAAAGACAGAUCAAGAAAAAUGAUCCAGUCUGAAAAACAGAGAGAAAAAGGACUGAAGAAAAAUACGGCAAGCCUCAGAGAUCCGUGGAACAAUAUCAAAUAUCUGGAUAUAUUUGCUUGUCUUAUCAUUAUAAGAGAGGGACUAAAGACCAAUGGGAAUUUGGGUAGGGCUUACGAAUUGUGCUUGUCACUAUCAUGUGCCCUGGGGAGGCCCUAUGUUGGGAUACCUCCAGGAUCACUUUAUUUAGGUGUUUCAGGCCGCUUGGAUUCCCCAGAGAAGCCUCUUUAAAUGUUCCAAUCUCCUGGUAAUGCUCAGGGAGCCCAGUGGGAGAAUAGAGCUGGACUCAGCAUCUAACAUUCAAUAGCAGUAGUCACUUAAACCCUUAUUUUUGGUACAGUACUCACAUCCUCAACUAUGCCUGGUUUCCUCAGUCCACAGACCUUUAUUUUACCAUCUGUAGGUACUAAUGCCUCUUCUUGGAGACAAGGGAGGGGCAGUUGCUAAUAAGUAUGGAGUGGGUGAGGGGAUCUCAGGAUCUAGCUGCAUCUCAAACUGCUUUCACCCAGUUCUCAUUAUUUUGGACCUCCUUUCACUCCCAAUUCCAGAGAUGCCUGGGUUCUGUCAGUUUCUGUGCCUUUUUAGGAUACUGUGAUGGUUAAUAUGUGUCAAAUUGACUGGGCCAAGUGCCCAGAUAUUUGGACAAACAUUAUUCUGGGUGUUUCUGUGAGGGUGUUUUUGGAUGAAAUUAGCAUUUAGGUGGGAUCUGGUGGUUCAUGCCUGUAAUCCCAGCAUUUUGGGAGGCCAUGGUGGGAGGAUUACUUGAGGCCCGGGUUUUGAGACCAACCUGGGCAACACUGCAAGACCCUGUCUCUACAAAAACAAAAUAAAAAAGAAAUUCGCAUUUAAAUCAGUAGACUUGAGUGAAGUCAAUUGCUCUCUGUCUCGGUCUGCUCAGCCUACUAUAAUAAAAUACCAUACACAUGCUGGUUAAACAACAGAAACAUUUCUCACAGUUCUGGGGGCUGGAACGUCCAAGGUCAAGGUGCUAGGCAGUUUACCUUCUGGUGAGGAGCCUCUUGCUGGCUUGCAGAUGGCUGCCUUCUCACUGUGUCUUCCUCACGUGGUGCAGAGAGAGAUCUCUUGUGUCUCUUCUUACAAAGCCACUAAUCCCAUAAUGAGGGCUCCCAUAUGCCCUUGUUGCUCCCAAAGGCCCCAUCUCCAAAUACCAUCACCCUGAGGGUUAGGGCUUUAAUGUGAUUUGGGGGGGACACAAGUGUUCAGUUCAUAACAUUCCCCAUAGUGUGGGUGGUCUCAUCCAGUUAGUUGGAGGCCUGAAUAAAGACUGACCUUUUGCCCCAGCAAGAGGUAUUUUACAGCUGACUUACUUGGUCUGCUGAAAAAUACCUCUUCAUCCACACUACAGAUUUUGGAUUUACCAGCCAAAUAAUCAUGCGAGCCAAUUCCUUUUCUCUCUCACUGUCUUUGUCUUUUUCUUUCUGUCUCUCCUACAUAUGCGCUCGCACACACACACGCGCACACACACACACACACGCACACCCCUUAUUGCCUCCUAUUGUUUCUCUGGAGAACCCUGCCCACUACUGGCCCAAGAAUGGUUCCUUCUUAGGUCAGCUAAGACAGUCACCACUCUUCUGCUUUCUAGGUUCCAAAAGCUUGCUGCUGUUGUCUCUCUCUCUCUUUUUGUUUGUUUGUUUGUUUGUUUUUCUUUUUUGAGACAGGGUUUUGUUCUGCCUGCCAGGCUGGCGUGCAGUGGCAUCAUCUUGGCUCACGGCAACCUCCGUCUCCCAGGCUCAAGUGAUCCUCCCAUCUUAGCCUCCCGAGUAGCUGGGACCACAGGCAUGUGCCACCAAGCUUGGCUAAUCUUUUUUUCUUUUUCUUUUUUUUUUGUUUUUGUUUGUUUGUUUUUGAGACAGUCUCCCUCUGUGGCCCAGCCUGGAGUGCAGUGGUGCAAUCUCGGAUCAUUGCAACCUCUGCCUCCCAGGUUCAAGCAAUUUUCCUGUCUCAGCCUUCCAAGUAGCUGGGAUUAUAAGUGUGUGCCACCAUGCCUGGCUACUUUUUUUUUGGCAUUUUUAGUAGAGACAAGGUUUCAACGUGUUGGCCAGGCCGGUUUGAACUCCUGGGCUCAAGUGAUCCACCCGGUUUGGCCUUCCAAAGUGCAGGGAUUAUAGGCGUGAGCCACCACGCCUGACCUGCUGUCAUCUGUUCUGUUCUCAUUGUUGUAGACUUAUUGUAGUUUUUACUAUAUAUACAGUCACUUUACUAUAGUAGGUUUUUGGGGGAAUGGAUCUAGAUGUGCAUGUUUAAUCUGCAAUUUCAGCCCAGAGCUCCUGGACUUCCUAAUUCUUAAGAGUGAUUUAAAUAACAGAACGUUUCCUGGAAAUUGUGUUCUUAUGCAAUAUGUUAGCAGCCUUCUGUUGGUCUCCCCCUCAUUAAAGGGCCUCAAAAGAGAUUUCUUCUUUUUUUUUUUUGGCAGGGCCUUGCUCUGUUACCCAUGCUGGAGUACAGUGAUGCCAUUAUGGCUCACUGCAGUCUUGACCUCCAGGGCUCAAGCCAUCCUCCCACCUCAGCCUCCUGAGUAGCUGGGACUACAGACAUGCAACACCAUGCCCAGCUAAUGUUUAAUUAUUUUUUAAUAGAGACCCAGUCUCAUUUUGUCGCCCAGGCUGGUCCUGAACUCUUGGGCUCAAGCAAUCUUCCCACCUCCCAAAAUGCUGGUAUCACAGGCUUGAGCCACCAUACCCUGCCCUCAAAAGAGAGAAAUUAAUUAAUUAAUGUAUUUAUUUUUGAGACAGAGUCUCACUCUGUCGCCCAGGCUGGAGUACAGUGGUGUAUCUUGGCUCACUGCAACCUCUGCCUCCUGGGUUCAAGCAAUUCUGCUGCUUCAGCCUCCUGAGUAGCUGGGAUUACAAGUGCACGCCACCAUGCUCAGCUAAUUUUUGUAUUUUUAGUAGACACUGGGUUUCUCCAUGUUGGCCAGGCUAGUCUUGAACUCCUGACCUCAAGUCAUUCACCCACUUCGGCCUCCCAAAGUGCUGGGCUACAUGCGUGAGCCACUGUGGCUGGCCAAAAGAGAUUUCUUAAUCUACCUUCCUUCUUGUGUACAAAAGGGCCACAAAGCUAUUAAAAUAAAUCAUAAUUAUGUCUGUUCCAAGUCCAUUACUUGAACAUGACAAAUCAGUAAGAGACACUCAUUUUCUUCUAGAGAAGUAGGUAUCUUCAAGGGCCCUGGGCUCACCACAAGUUCACAAAUGCAUAGCUUCUUGGACAUGUCUGGCCUUAGCUGACAGUAAAUACUAAAAUAUACUUCAGAUACAAAACAUCUACUACAUCUAACUCAAGCUAGCAAUGUCAAAUGAUUACCUUGGUCUUAACAUCUAAAAGGCUUUUUCUUCCCUUAAAUGAGUCCUAGCAUUAGGUAUCCCUGAUUACAGUAAGCAGUUCACUCUUCCAUUAAAAAAAACAACCUUCAUUAUACAAACACAGACUAAUGGAGACAACGCCCUAGUGCCUGUGAUCAUUCUUCUUACGCUGGAAAAUACCUGCUUUGCCUCCAGCCUGUGUUCUGUGGCCAGGACAGCUGUCUUGGUAGAGGCUUCUUGUGUUUUCAUCCUGGUGUCCCUCUUUAUGGGGCUGCUCCACCUCAGCACUCCUUCUAAAAACCAAAAUGCAAUUCCUAUCAACUGUCGAAUAUGUAAAUAUUACAUUUUACUCAUCUCUGCUGGUCAUAUUACCCUUAUGCUUUGCCUCCCAGUAAACCCAGCAUCUUUUUUUUUUUUUUUUUUUUUUUUUUUUUUUUUUGGAGAUAGGGUCCUGCUCUGUCACCCAGGCUGGAGUGCAGUGACGCAGUCACAGCUCACUGCAGCGUCAACCUCCCAGGCUCAAGCUUUCCUCCCACUUCGGCCUCCUGAGUAGUUGGAACUAGAGGUGCACUUCACCAUCCUGGUAAUUUUUUUUUUUUUGAGACAGAGUCUCCCUCUGUUGCCCAGGCUGGGGUGCAGUGGCGCGAUGUCAGCUCACUGCAACCUGUGCUUCCCAGAUUCAAGCAAUUCUCCUUCCUCAGCCUCCUGAACAGCUGGGAUUACAGGUGCCUGCCACCACGCCCGGCUAAUUUUGUAUUUUUAGUAGAGACGGGGUUUUGCCAUGUUGGCCAGGCUGGUCUUAAGCUCCUGACCUCAAGUGAUCCACCCACCUCCAAAAGUGCUGGGAUUACAGGUGUGAGCCAUCAUGCCUGCUUGUAUUUUUUUUUUUUUUUUUUUGAGACGGAGUUUCGCUCUGUGGCCCAGGCUGGAGUGCAAUGGCACGAUCUCGGCUCACUGCAAGCUCGGCCUCCCGGGUUCACGCCAUUCUCCUGCCUCAGCCUCCCGAGUAGCUGGGACUACAGGCGCCCGCCACCACGCCCGGCUAAUUUUUUGUAUUUUUAGUAGAGAUGGGGUUUCACCAUGUUAGCCAGGAUGUUCUCGAUCUCCUGACCUCAUGAUCCACCCACCUCGGCCUUCCAAAGUGCUGGGAUUACAGGUGUGAGCCACGGCGCCUGGCUGCCUGCUUGUAUUUUUUUGUAGAGAUGGAGUCUAUGUUGCCCAGGCUGGUCUCUGAACUCCUGGCCUCAAGCAAUCCUACCACCUCAGCCUCCCAAAGUGUUGGGACUACAGACACGAGCCUCUGUGCCCAGCCUCCAACAUCUUUAUUCUACCUCCAGUCUACUAAAAACCUCACAAUUGUCUUGCAGUCUUUUUCAUACACCUUUGCCUUCACAAAGCCUUUCUUCCCUCUUUUCCGUUAGCAGAAUCUUGGUUUUUGUAGGCACAUCUAUGCUCCCCUCCGCCAACCAACACCUUCCCCAGCUCAGGGGCAAAUCUUGAUUAGCUGGGUACCUUUUCCCUGGAUGAGGAUUGGCCCAGCAUGGACAUGUGAUACAGUUCUGGCCCAUGAGACAGAUUUCAUGGGGAGGCUUCCAAGAAGUUUCCUCAUUCUUUAAAAGAGACCCCCAGGAAGACUCAUUCUCUUUUGCUAAUCCUUGCUGAGGCUGACUGUGGCAUCUGGAGCUGCAGCAGCCUUCUUGUGAUCAGGAUGGAAUGAAGAGAAAGACAGAAAGACUGAGGGCCCUUCACAACGUCAGCAAAUCCACCAACCAUGGGGCUUAGCUGCCCUACUUCAGGAAAUGUUGUUUAAUGAAAUAAUAAAAUGCCCUAACUUUUUUUUUUUUUUUUUUUGAGAUGGAGUCUCACUCUGUCGCCCAGGCUGGAGUGCAGUGGCGUGAUCUCAGCUCACUGCAAGCUCCACCUCCCAGGUUCACGCCAUUCUCCUGCCUCAGCCUCCUGAGUAGCUGGAACUACCAGCGCCUGCCACCACACCUGGCUAAUUUUUUGUAUUUUUAGUAGAGACGGGGUUUCUCUGUGUUAGCCAGGAUGGUCUCGAUCUCUUUACCUCAUGAUCCACCCGCCUCGGCCUUCCAAAGUGCUGGGAUUACAGGCGUGAGCCACUGCACCCGGACUAACUUUUUUUUUUUUUUUUCAGAAACAGUGUCUCACUCUGUUGCCCAGGAUAGAGUACAGUGGCCGCAUCAUGGCUUGCUCCAGCCUCAACUCCUGGGCUCAAGGGGGAGCCCGACUAAUUUUGUAUGUUUUGUUGUGUUUUGUUUUGUUUUGAGACAGGGUCUCACUCUGUCACCCAGGCUGGAGCUCACUGCAGCCUCCACCUCCCCAGGCUCAUGUGAUCCUCACACGUCAGCUUCCAGAGUAGCUGGAACCACACGUAUGUGUUGCCUGGCUAAUUUUUGAUUUUUUUUUUCUUUUUAAGUUUUGUAUUUUUUGUAGAGAUGGGGUUUCACCGUGUUGCCCAGGCAGGUCUCAAAAUGCUAGACUCAAGUGAUCCUCCUUCCUUGGCCUCUUUAAAGUGUUGGGAUUACAGACUUGAUAGCCACCAUGCGAGGCUUUUUUUUUUUUUUUUUUUUUGAGAUGGUGUUGUGCUCUGUCACCCAGCCUGGAGUGCAGUGGUGCCAUCAUAGCUUACUGCAGCCUCAACCUCCGGGUCUCAAACCAUCCUCCCACCUCAGCCUCCCGAAGCUCUGGGAUGACAGUCAUGAGCCACCAUGCCCAGCCAAAAUGCCCUAACUUUUUAAAGCCAAAUUGAAGUUGGAUGUACUAGAUCUUUUUCUGAUUGGUCCUUCAGACUCAUUUCUCUCUGUCAAUCAGGAGGCUGGGUUUGGCCUGUGACAUGUAUCAACAGAUCAAAGGGUGGGAGUACAGAGCCAGGUCCUGGUUCACUGGUGGCUGCAUCCUUUGCCCAAGGUCAUAACCCCUGUCAGGUGGCUUUUGUGCUGUAGCUAUACAUCAGAUUUCAAGAACCUCUCCUUCCUUUUGCCCUCUCAACUAAAAAGUGUGGUGGUGGUUUCCUUCUGUUGCUAGUUUCAUUCUUUGUGGUUCCCUGAACCCUACCUAUACUUUAGUAAGUAAUUGCUUCAUUAGCAUCUCUUAAAUAUCCUCUUUUGGCUGGGCGCAGUGGCUCACACCUGUAAUCCCAGCACUUUGGGAGGCCGAGGCAGGCGGAUCACGAGGUCAGGAGAUCAAGACCAUCCUGGCUAACACGGUGAAAUCCUGUCUCUACUAAAAAUACAAAAAAUUUUUGUAGUCCCAGCUACUCGGGAGGCUGAGGCAGGAGAAUUGGCGUGAACCCGGGAGGCAGAGGUUGCAGUGAGCCGAGAUUGCGCCACUGCACUCCAGCCUGGGUGGCAGAGCGAGACUCCGUCUCAUAAAAAAAAAAAAAAAAAAAAUUCUCUCUUGCGUUUGCCAACUCUUUUCCGCCAGGACCCUGACUAAUACUUGGGUUUGCAACUGUUGCAAUUACUGCCCACCUGAAUGAACCCUUACUAUCCUUAAAGACAUUUUACUAUCAUCUUUCAUGUAGAUGAGUCUGUUCAUUGGUUUUAGAGCAUGAAGUGGUGUAAUGUGCCCAUUUUGAUUUUUGUCUGACGUUCUGAUAGGUGAUUAAUUGAUUGUUUUUAUCAAAACGUCUACUCUCCUAAUAAAUCUGUCAAUUUUUUUUAUUCCACCUAUAACUUUUGUUUUUUAUUUUUAUUUUUUUGAGACGGAGUCUAGCUCUAUCGCCUAGGCUGGAGUGCAGUGGUGCGAUCUUGGCUCACUGCAACCUCUGCCUCCAGGGUCCAAGCAAUUCUCCUGCCUCAGCCUCCUGAGUAGCUGGGAUUACAGGCAUGCGCCAUGACACCUGGCUAAUUUUUGUAUUUUUAGUAGCGACGGGGUUUCGCAGUGUUGGCCAGGCUGGUCUCGAACUCCUGACCUUAAGUGAUCUGCCUUCCUUGGCCUCCCAAAGUGCUGGGAUUACAGGCGUGAACCACUGCUCCUGGCCCAUCUAUAACUUUUGGGUUGUUCACAUUUAUGGGAAAACAAUGAGGAGAAAUAAAUUUCCAAAUGUUUUUAGAUUAAUGACUUUUACAUGCCUUCCAAGUAUCUUCUAAAGAAGUGUUAUGAGAUGUUCCAGCCGGGCACGGUGGCUUACGCCUGUAAUCCCAGUACUUUUGGAGGUGGGCAGGUCACCUGAGGUCAGGAGUUAGAGACCAGUCUGGGCAACAUGGUGAAACCCUGUCUCUACUAAAAAUACAAAAAUUAGCCAGGCAUGGUGGCGCAUGCCUAUAAUCCCAGCUACUCAGAUAGCUGAAGCAGGAGAGUUGCUUGAACCUGGGAGGUGGAGGUUGCAGUUAGUCGGUGAUGACUGUUGAGAUGUAACACCAGCAGCAUGAUCCGUGACAGAAUUAAUAAGGUGGACUUUAUUAAAAUUAAAAUUUUCUGCUUUACAAAAGACACUCUUAAGAGAACAAAAAGACAAGACAGACUAGAAGAAAAUGUUUGCAAAAGAUAUAUCUGAUAAUGGACCAUUAUCCAAAAUAUACAAAGAAUUCUCAAAACUUAACAAUAAGAAAACAAACAACCUGAUUAAAAAAUGAGUCAAAGGCCUGGCAUGGUGGCUCGUACCUAUAAUCCUAACACUUUGGGAGGCUGAGGCAGUAAGAUUGCCUGAACCCAGAAAUUCAAUACCAGCCUGGGCAAUAUAGUGAGACCUCGUCUCUACAAAAAAUAUAAAAAUUAGCUGGGUGUCGUGGUGCAGGCCUGUUGUCCCACCUACUUGCUAGGCUGAAAUGGGAGGAUGGCUUGAGCCCAGGAGGCGGAGGUUGCAGUGAGCCAUGAUUGUGCCACUGCACUCCAGUCUGGGCAAUAGAGCAAGACUCUGUCUCAAAAAACAAAAGCAAACCCAAAAAUAUGCCAAAGACCUUAACAGACACCUUACCAAAGCAGAUAAACAGAUGGCAAAUAAGCAUAUGAAAAGAUGCUCCACAUUUCCCUUUCAUCAGGGAAAAGCAAAAUAAAACAACAAUAAGAUGUCAUUGCAUACCUAUUAGAAUGGCCAAAGUCCAGAACACUUACAACAUCAAAUGCUGGCAAGCAUGUGGAGCAACAGGAACUCUCAUUGCUGAUGGGAAUGCAGAAUGGCAUAGCCACUUUGGAAGACAGUAUGGUAGUUUCUUACAAAACUAAACCUACUCUUGCCAUAUGAUCCAAUGUUGGCUUUGAAAACUUAUGUCCAUACAAAACCCUGCACAGGUAUUUAUAGCAGCUUUAUUCAUAACUGCCAAAACUUGGAAGUAACUAAAAUGUCCUUCAGUAGGUGAAUGGAUAAAUUGUGAUACAUUCAAACAAUGGAAUAUUAUCCAGCAUUAAAAAGAAAUGAGCUACCAAGCCGUAAAGAGACAUGAGGAAAACUUAAUUCCAUAAUGCUAAGUGAAAGAAGCCAGUCUGAAAAGGCUACACACUGUAUUAUUCCAACAAUAUGGCAUUCUGGAAAAGACAAAACUGUGGAGAUGGUAAAAAGAUCAGUGGUUGCCAGGGGCUGAGGGCAGGAAGGGAUGAAUAGGCAGAGAAUAGAGGAGUUUUAGGGCAGUGAAAAUACUCUGUAUGAUACUAUAAUGGUGGACACAUGUCCUAUAUAUUUUUCCAUUUGUCCAUAGAUUGUACAACAACAAGAAUGAACCUUAAUAUAAACUAUACACUUUGAGUGAUGAUGUGUCAAUGUAGGUUCAUCAGUUGUAAUAAAUGUAGCACUCUGGUGGGGGAUGUUGUUAAUGGGGGGGAUUGUGCAUGUGUUGGGGGGGCAUAUGAGAUAUCUCAGUGCCUUCCUCUUAAUUUUGCUAUGAACCUAAAACUGCUCUCAAAAAAAUAAAGUCUGGCCGGGUACAGUGGCUCACACCUGUAAUCUCAGCACUUUGGGAAGCCAAGGCAGGUGGAUCACCUGAGGUCAGGAGUUCGAGAUCAGCCUGGCUGACAUGAUGAAACCCUGUCUCUACUAAAAUUACAAAAAUUAGCUGGGUGUGGUGGCGCGCGCCUGUUAUCCCAGGUACUCGGAAGGCUGAGGCAGGAGAAUCGCUUGAACCCAGGAGGCGGAGCUUGCAGUGAGCCGAGAUUGCACCACUGCACUCCAGCCUGGGUGACAGAGUGAGACUCUAUCUCAAAAAAAAUAAUAAAAUAAAAUAAAGUCUUUAAAAAAAUAAUCUUUGGCUACUUCAGCCAUUUUCUCCCUUCUCAGGCCAUGGCUUUGGUUUCAUCCUCAACCUCCAACUAGGUUCCUCUGACAACUUUUUUUUUUUUUUUAACAUUUCUCUGCUCCAAAACCAGACCCCAAAUUCAGGGAGGAAAUUAUGUAGAGGCUGAUGGUCUUACACCCAGAUCACCUGUGGUUUUCCCCAAAUGGCCACUUGAUGGCACUCAAGAAUCUUCUUCUUGUUCACAUGAUUCCUGGAAUGGCUCAUGUGAAAUAAAGGGGGUAUGAUGAAUGAAGGACUUUUGAUAAAAGUCAUUAGAUGCUAUGGAUAUGUUCCAGUGUGUUCCAUUGUAGACCACAGUACUAUCAUGUCUGCCUUUUUUUUUUUUUUUUUGGUAGAGAUGGGGGUCUCACUAUGUUGCCCUGGCUGGUCUUGAACUCUUGGGCUCAAGCAGUCCUUUUGCCUCAGCCUCCCAAAGUGUUGGGAUUAUAGGUAUGAGCCACUGCACCUGGCCUGUCUCUGCCAUUUUUUGACAGAUAAUGGAACGGCAUGAUUCACAACAGUAUUAUUCUGUUAAUUUCAUCCAGAUGAAAAAAUACUGAUCACAUAAAUAGAAAUAUAUGUUUAGAGAUGUGUAGAACUAUCACCAUAUACAAAAUAUACUACACUGUCAUCAUCAAAGAGUUGUUAAAAGUUUUCCUACUCAAAUUUGAAAUAUCUGCCAGGCAUGGUGGCUCACACCUGUAAUUCCAGCAAUUUGGGAGGCUGAGGCAAGCAGAUAACUGGAGCUCAGCAGUUCGAGACCAGCCUUGGCAACAUAGCAAAACCGCGUCUCUACUAAAAAAUUAAAAAAUUAGCCGGGCAUGGUGGCGUGCACCUGUAAUACCAGCUACUCAAGAGACUGAGGUGGGAGGAUGGCUUGAGCCCGGGAGGUUGAGGUUGCAAUGAGUCAGGAUCGUGCCACUCACUCCAGCCUGGGCAACAGAGCAAGAGUCUAUCUCUAAAAAAAAAAAAAAGAAGAAGAGGUCGGGCGUGGUGGCUCACGCCUGUAAUCCCAGCACUUUGGGAGGCCAAAGCAUGUGGAUCACUUGAGGUCAGGAGUUCUAGACUAGCCUGGCCAACAUGGUAAAAUCCCGUCUCUUCUAAAAAUACAAAAAUUAGCUGGGCGUGGUGGCAGGCACCUGUAAUCCCAGCGGGGCCGAGGCAGGAGAAUCACUUGAACCCGGGAGGUGGAGGUUGCAGUGAGCCGAGAUCGCACCAUUGCACUCCAGCCUGGGGGACAAGAGCGAGACUUCGUCUCAAAAAAAAAAAAAAAAAGAGAGAAAUAUCCUUGUCCUUUAAUACAAUGAGACACAAACCUCAUAGGUCAAAUGGGAAAGGAAGUCUGUGAAGGCUUUCAGAUGCAACAAGACUUUGACUACUGACUUUCACUAUAGAAUCAGCGGGUGGGGGGGUAUAAAAUGACAAAAUAGAAUUUCAGAAACUAAAUUGGUCAAGAUGUGUGCAGAAACCUGAUUCAAAUGGCCUAGAUAGUUCCCAGAGUUCUUGCAAGUAUAAGAUGCACAGCUGUCAAAGAGACAUUCUCAUCUUGAAAUAUUAAUGGGUUGGCCCAUGACACGUCCCUCUAUACUCCCAGGGGAACCCACUUAAAAGCAAUAAUAUAUUAAAUGAUAUCCUCCUAAAUUAGUACAAAGCAUUCUAUAAAAAGCGUGUCAAGGCCUUCUUUUCACAUGUCCUACCGUGGCAGAUGCUGUUGGUGCUUCACCUGUAUCCCCCUGGAUCCCUUUUACCAUUUCUGUCCUGUUAUCCUCCACUUUCUGUGACCUUUGUUUCCAGUGGCUUGUACCUGAGGGCAUCACACCUGGUCUGCUGGGGUUGCUGUGCACACCAGCAUAUAAAGGGAGUGAGAAUGGCCUGAGAGUUUAUGUGUCCUUCCUACCUGUGUUCAUAACCACUGACUGGUGCAGGAAAGCCUGCACUUUCACUGAUGUGAAAGCCCAGCUCCCUCACUGCAGUGGAACAAAACUAUAAAGUGUAAUUUCCCCUUCAGAACUCACCUCUGCAUCAGGCUGAGGCUGGGACAUGGCCAGCAUCAAAGCCUUGCUUGGCAUCUUCCUCUUCCUUUACUUCUUUUCUGCAUUCCUUUAAUUGUUUCUCCUGGGAGCACUUCCUUAAUAAAUCAUUUGCACAUUGCUUCUGUCUCAAAAUUUGUUUUCGGGAACCCAACCUAAGAAACCAACCAUCCCUGAUAAACCAUGCUGCCAUGUGCAGCCUAAAAUUGGGAUACACAUCCUAAAAUUGGGAUACACAUCCUAAAAUUGGGAUACACACCAGAAAAAAAACUUCGUUGAAACAUUGCUAAUAGGGGCCUUUGGCCUUGAAUCCAUGACUGCAAAAAUACUUCUCUAAUGUGGGCAGGGAGGGGAAUGAAGAGACAGAGCAAUGCUGCUUAGAGCUUUGCCCUUGACACAAAAACAGGAGCUGCCAGGGAAACAACCACUGCAAUCAUUUGUGCUUCAUGAGGAGCAGCCACCAGGGGCUGUUGGUUGUGAUUCUGUUCUUCUUGCUAUGGAAUGAUCCUGGAUCUCUGUUUGUUUGUUUGUUUUUUGUUUGUUUGUUUUUAAGAGUCUUGUGCUGUCGCCCAGACUGGAGUGCAGUGGCGGGAUCUCAGCUCACUGCAACCCCUGCCUCCUGGGUUCAAGCGAUUCUCCUGCCUCAGCCUCCCGAGUAGCUGGAAUUACAGGCGCCCACCACCAUGCCUGGCUAAUUUUUGUAUUUUUAGUAGAGACAGGGUUCGCCAUGUUGGCCAGGCUGGUCUCGAACUUCUGACCUCAAGCGAUCUGCCCACCUCGGCCUCCCAAAGUGCUGAGAUUACAGGCUUGAGCGCCCGGCUUUGGAUGUCUGUUUUAACUUCCUCUUCAGUUGAAGGAGAUUGGCAAUCCCAAAACAAAGAUACUUCACCAAUCCAAACAAGUUUGUAAAAACCCACUGCCUCCUGAAGUCUUUGGCACUCACUUGGCUAUAACUAUAAUUUUCUCAUUCAUCAUCUCACCAGACUAAGAAAACAAUGCUAUUCUUUGACCCAGCAACAUGCUAAGAACUUGUGUGUCUUUUCUUGUCAGUUAUGCUCACAUGGGACUCACAGUUACUGGAAGACAUAACAUGAAAUAUAGACAAUUUCAGAUGAGCAAAAGCUGAGAGAAUUCAUUUUCAUCAGAUUUGCACUACAAUAAGCACUAAAGAUUGUUCAUCAGGCUGAAAGGCAAAGAUAUCCAGUGACGGCACUCCUUGGUAUUUACCCAAAGGAGUUGAAAACGUAUGUCCACAUAAAACCCUGCACAGAUAUUUAUAGCAGUUUUAUUCAUAACUGCCAAAACUUGGAAGCAACCAAGAUGUCCUUCAGUAGGUGAAUGGAUAAAUAAAUUAUGGUACAUUCUACAGAAAGGAAUGAAGAACAUCUUAUAUGGGCUAAUAUAAAAGCCUAUAUUUUUUUAAUUUUAAAAAUAAUUUCUUUAAAAAACAACUGACCAAACAAAAACAAUAAUAAUUUAUUGUAAGAUUUAAAACAUGUAAGGCCAGGCACAGUGGCUCAUGCCUGUAAUCUCAGCACUUUGGGAGUUUGAGGCAGAAGAAUCACUUGAGCCUAGGAAUUUGAGACCAGUCUGGGCAACGUGGUUAGACUCCCUCUCUACAAAAAAUACAAACAAAUUAGACUGGCAUGGUGAUGUGUACCUGUAGUCUCAGCUACCUAGGAGGCUGAGGUGGGAGAAUCACCUGAGCCUGGGAAGUUGAGGCUGCAGUGAGCCGUGAUUGUACCAUUGCACACCAGCCUGGGCAAUAAAAUGAGACUCUAUCUCAAAAAUAAAUAAAAAUAAAACAUGUAAAAGUAAAAUAUAUGACAAUAAUAGCAGAAGGACAGGUAGGGUAAAUGAAAUUAUUCUCUCUUUAGGUUAUACAUUUUAUGGAUAAAUUAAUUCUAAGCAAAAUGUAAUAAAUUAAGAAUGUAGGCCGGGCACAGUGGCUUAUGCCUGUAAUCCCAGCACUUUGGGAGGCCGAGGCGGGCAGAUCACGAGGUCAAGAGAUCAAGACCAUCCUGGCCAACAUGGUGAAACCCCGUCUCUACUAAAAAUACAAAAAAUUAGCUGGACGUGGUGGUGUGCACCUGUAGUCCCAGCUACUUGGGAGGCUGAGGCGGGAGAAUCACUUGAACCCAGGACAUGGAGGUUGCAGUGAGCAGAGAUUGCAUCACUGCACUCUAGCCUGGUGACAGAGCGAGACUCUGUCUCAAAUAAGUAAAUAAAUAAAUAAAUAA
RNAcentral lists this long non-coding RNA (25462 nucleotides) under Homo sapiens (human). Its description in RNAcentral is "non-protein coding CRTC3-AS1:10". Lineage: Eukaryota; Metazoa; Chordata; Mammalia; Primates; Hominidae. The record is from RNAcentral.